GACCCACUUUUGACAAAAGAUUUUGGAAUGAAGAAUGCAUCUUCUCUACUUCUAAACCCAUGAAAACUUCUUCCUAUACCUUGCGUCCAAUUGAGAGAGUAUGCUAAUUUCGAUCACGAAUGAUUAAACAGGUAAGUAAGAUUGCUUGAGAUUUACCUCUAGAUUUACAUUUUUUUUUUCUUUUAAAUCAGUUCUGGUGAACAGAAAAUUAGCAACUCAUCACUAAUUUCUAUAUUUUAGUAAUGAUUAGUAUUUAGGACUUGGUAAUAUUUUGUAUUGCGAGCAUAAGAAUUGCCGGUUGUACCGCGCAUUUGCCGCGUCAAAUUUUCCGUGAAAAUCAUCUAUUAUGAAAAUCUUGAUCGAGCUCUGUUUUGGGGGAGAAAUUCGAGUUGGAAGUUGUUCUGAGGAAGCCUCCGGAAAAUUCAAGUUCUCUCUCUCGCGAGCUUCUCCCGCGCAAUUGGGGGCAAAGCAAGAAGUCCGACUGAGGGAAACUAGCAGAACCCGAAUUCUCCAGCUCAAUCGUUCCUCUCCACUCUUCAGCGGAGGCCAUGAAGAAGGCAAUGGGCCUCGUUCUCAAGGAGUCUUCCUCUGGUGGUGCACGCAAAUUGCAGACCUCACCUUCCACACUGGGACAGACAACAGAGUCGCAUCUUUGUGAUGGUCUUGCCAGAAGCUGUCUGCAUAACUUCUUGAGAGGACGAAACCUCAAAUUUGAUUAGGCGAAGAAAAAGGAGAAGGAAUAAGAAGAGUAAAAGGAGAACCCCAAACUUAUGAAAAGUCAUUCUCAUUCCUUUCUUGGAUACAAAAUAAGUUGUUCUGAUUCAGAUAAUUUGCAGAGUUGAGAUUUAGCAAAGAUCGCCAACUCUCUGGGUGCUGGAGCCUCUAUUGAGAUAGAGUGUUCAUAGUAGGUGUAGCUGAAUCAUGUAAUGGAUUGUAAGAUUACUCGCUAAAUGCGAGCCUUGGACUAUUGCCAUGUAUUAUCUUGCAGGUUGUAUGAUUACUAAAAUAAUCAAAAUGGAUAGCCAUCACUGAUCUCAAUAUGAAGACCUUACUUGUUUUGAGCGAAGAAUGUGGUAAUCAGUCUUUGAAGAAAAUGGUUUUAAAAGAUUGUAGACCAGGGGAAAAAAUCAAGAUGAUCUUAUGAAAGAGGUCUGCUUAAAACAUGGGUCCAUGACCAUGGGUAUUUGAGUUGAUUGAAACAUUUACUAGACUUAUGGGCCGCUCUGAUCAUGCAUGAGUAUGGAGGAAGUCGGAUGACUUAUUUUGUGUUUUCAUUGGAUCUACAGUGGCUUGGGGUCUGUACGUAAGCCUUUCAUUUGGUACCCGGAUGAGCAGAUUACAUCUUGUUAGGAUUCAAUUGGAUCAGCAACUGAGAGAUGUCACACCACGUAGAUGACCAUAACACAUUCAUUUAAAGUUCAUUGUACAUCUAACUGCUGUUUUUCAAGUUGUGCAUCAGAAAGUUUGCUCUUAAGUUUAAAUGUAAGUGUAAAUGACUACAUGUACGCCAGAAGGUACAAAAAGCUGAGUCUGAUAUACCAUUUUGACGGCUGAUGAUGUUGUAACUUAUUUGACUAAGAGAACAACUUUGUAAUGCUCAUAAUUGCUUUUCAUGAUUUACCUGUGCACUGGAUAUCAAUAUCUGGUGCAAUAUCUCCCAAGAGGUUGGCUGUGGAAGAUG
This is a long non-coding RNA of Nymphaea colorata (pocket water lily), 1681 nucleotides long. RefSeq lists it as uncharacterized. The record is from RefSeq and is a predicted model, not a curated record. The transcript is spliced from 5 exons. Lineage: Eukaryota; Viridiplantae; Streptophyta; Magnoliopsida; Nymphaeales; Nymphaeaceae.